UUAAGUUAGAAAGGGCGCACGGUGGAUGCCUUGGCACUAGGAGCCGAUGAAGGACGGGACGAACACCGAUAUGCUUCGGGGAGCUGUAAGCAAGCUUUGAUCCGGAGAUUUCCGAAUGGGGAAACCCACCACUCGUAAUGGAGUGGUAUCCAUAUCUGAAUUCAUAGGAUAUGAGAAGGCAGACCCGGGGAACUGAAACAUCUAAGUACCCGGAGGAAGAGAAAGCAAAUGCGAUUCCCUGAGUAGCGGCGAGCGAAACGGGAUUAGCCCAAACCAAGAGGCUUGCCUCUUGGGGUUGUAGGACACUCUGUACGGAGUUACAAAGGAACGAGGUAGAUGAAGAGGUCUGGAAAGGCCCGCCAUAGGAGGUAACAGCCCUGUAGUCAAAACUUCGUUCUCUCCUGAGUGGAUCCUGAGUACGGCGGAACACGUGAAAUUCCGUCGGAAUCCGGGAGGACCAUCUCCCAAGGCUAAAUACUCCCUAGUGACCGAUAGUGAACCAGUACCGUGAGGGAAAGGUGAAAAGCACCCCGGAAGGGGAGUGAAAGAGAUCCUGAAACCGUGUGCCUACAAGUAGUCAGAGCCCGUUAACGGGUGAUGGCGUGCCUUUUGUAGAAUGAACCGGCGAGUUACGAUCUCGUGCAAGGUUAAGCAGAAGAUGCGGAGCCGCAGCGAAAGCGAGUCUGAAUAGGGCGCAUGAGUACGUGGUCGUAGACCCGAAACCAGGUGAUCUACCCAUGUCCAGGGUGAAGUUCAGGUAACACUGAAUGGAGGCCCGAACCCACGCACGUUGAAAAGUGCGGGGAUGAGGUGUGGGUAGGGGUGAAAUGCCAAUCGAACCUGGAGAUAGCUGGUUCUCUCCGAAAUAGCUUUAGGGCUAGCCUCAAGGUAAGAGUCUUGGAGGUAGAGCACUGAUUGGACUAGGGGCCCCUACCGGGUUACCGAAUUCAGUCAAACUCCGAAUGCCAAUGACUUAUCCUUGGGAGUCAGACUGCGAGUGAUAAGAUCCGUAGUCGAAAGGGAAACAGCCCAGACCGCCAGCUAAGGUCCCAAAGUAUACGUUAAGUGGAAAAGGAUGUGGAGUUGCUUAGACAACCAGGAUGUUGGCUUAGAAGCAGCCACCAUUUAAAGAGUGCGUAAUAGCUCACUGGUCGNGUNACUCUGGUGAGAAAAUGUACCGGGGCUAAACGUAUCACCGAAGCUGCGGACUGUUCUUCGAACAGUGGUAGGAGAGCGUUCUAAGGGCUGUGAAGCCAGACCGGAAGGACUGGUGGAGCGCUUAGAAGUGAGAAUGCCGGUAUGAGUAGCGAAAGAGGGGUGAGAAUCCCCUCCACCGAAUGCCUAAGGUUUCCUGAGGAAGGCUCGUCCGCUCAGGGUUAGUCGGGACCUAAGCCGAGGCCGAAAGGCGUAGGCGAUGGACAACAGGUUGAUAUUCCUGUACCACCUCCUCACCAUUUGAGCAAUGGGGGGACGCAGGAGGAUAGGGUAAGCGCGGUAUUGGAUAUCCGCGUCCAAGCAGUUAGGCUGGGAAAUAGGCAAAUCCGUUUCCCAUAAGGCUGAGCUGUGAUGGCGAGCGAAAUAUAGUAGCGAAGUUCCUGAUUCCACACUGCCAAGAAAAGCCUCUAGCGAGGUGAGAGGUGCCCGUACCGCAAACCGACACAGGUAGGCGAGGAGAGAAUCCUAAGGUGAUCGAGAGAACUCUCGUUAAGGAACUCGGCAAAAUGACCCCGUAACUUCGGGAGAAGGGGUGCUCUGUUAGGGNGCUGNCUCUNAUACACAUCUNACGCGGCNGACGCCUGCCCGGUGCUGGAAGGUUAAGAGGAGCGCUUAGCGUAAGCGAAGGUGCGAAUUGAAGCCCCAGUAAACGGCGGCCGUAACUAUAACGGUCCUAAGGUAGCGAAAUUCCUUGUCGGGUAAGUUCCGACCCGCACGAAAGGCGCAACGAUCUGGGCACUGUCUCAACGAGAGACUCGGUGAAAUUAUAGUACCUGUGAAGAUGCAGGUUACCCGCGACAGGACGGAAAGACCCCGUGGAGCUUUACUGCAGCCUGAUAUUGAAUGUUGGUACAGCUUGUACAGGAUAGGUANUANCUNUNNNACNNCNCNGANNCUANCGACGNAAGNNNCGGUGGGAUACUACCCUGGCUGUAUUGACCUUCUAACCCGCCGCCCUUAUCGGGCGGGGAGACAGUGUCAGGUGGGCAGUUUGACUGGGGCGGUCGCCUCCUAAAAGGUAACGGAGGCGCCCAAAGGUUCCCUCAGAAUGGUUGGAAAUCAUUCGCAGAGUGUAAAGGCACAAGGGAGCUUGACUGCGAGACCUACAAGUCGAGCAGGGACGAAAGUCGGGCUUAGUGAUCCGGUGGUUCCGCAUGGAAGGGCCAUCGCUCAACGGAUAAAAGCUACCCCGGGGAUAACAGGCUUAUCUCCCCCAAGAGUCCACAUCGACGGGGAGGUUUGGCACCUCGAUGUCGGCUCAUCGCAUCCUGGGGCUGUAGUCGGUCCCAAGGGUUGGGCUGUUCGCCCAUUAAAGCGGUACGCGAGCUGGGUUCAGAACGUCGUGAGACAGUUCGGUCCCUAUCCGUCGCGGGCGCAGGAAAUUUGAGAGGAGCUGUCCUUAGUACGAGAGGACCGGGAUGGACGCACCGCUGGUGUACCAGUUGUUCUGCCAAGGGCAUCGCUGGGUAGCUAUGUGCGGACGGGAUAAGUGCUGAAAGCAUCUAAGCAUGAAGCCCCCCUCAAGAUGAGAUUUCCCAUUCCGCAAGGAAGUAAGAUCCCUGAAAGAUGAUCAGGUUGAUAGGUCUGAGGUGGAAGUGUGGCGACACAUGGAGCUGACAGAUACUAAUCGAUCGAGGACUUAACC
RNAcentral lists this ribosomal RNA (2860 nucleotides) under Bacillus subtilis subsp. subtilis str. 168. Its description in RNAcentral is "bacterial LSU rRNA". It matches the Rfam family "Bacterial large subunit ribosomal RNA". Lineage: Bacteria; Bacillati; Bacillota; Bacilli; Caryophanales; Bacillaceae. The record is from RNAcentral.